GAUGAAGAACGCAGCGAAAUGCGAUAAGUAAUGUGAAUUGCAGAAUUCAGUGAAUCAUCGAAUCUUUGAACGCACCUUGCGCCCUUUGGACAUUCCGAAGGGCAUGCCUGUUUGAGUAUCAUGAACACCUCAACUCUCACGGCUUGUCCGUGAUGAGCUUGGACUUUGGGGGUCUUGCCGGCCUGUGGUCGGCUCCUCUCAAAUGGAUCGGCUUGCCAGUGUUUGGUGGCAUCACAGGUGUGAUAACUAUCUGCGCUUGUGGUUUUCCAUCAGAUAACCUUCAGUGAUAUGGAGGUUCGCUGGAGCUCACAAAUGUCUCUCCUUAGUGAGGACAGCUCUUUGAACGUUUGAUCUCAAAUCAGGUAGGACUACCCGCUGAACUUAAGCAUAUCAAUAAGCGGAGGA
RNAcentral lists this unclassified non-coding RNA (405 nucleotides) under soil metagenome. RNAcentral's name for it is "partial contains 5.8S ribosomal RNA, internal transcribed spacer 2, and large subunit ribosomal RNA". The stretch from base 1 to 121 matches the Rfam family "5.8S ribosomal RNA", at positions 35 to 154 of the family's 154-position model. The record is from RNAcentral.